Limanda limanda (common dab) is the source of this 73-nucleotide small nucleolar RNA. RefSeq annotates it as small nucleolar RNA SNORD61. NCBI's taxonomy places the organism in Eukaryota, Metazoa, Chordata, Actinopteri, Pleuronectiformes, Pleuronectidae. The transcript has a single exon. The record is from RefSeq and is a predicted model, not a curated record.
GCAAUGAUGAAUAUCUGGUUUUGAUCAGCGAGAUGAAAUUACACAACGGAUUCCUCUAAGAAGUUCUGAGCUC